GACGAACGCUGGCGGCGUGCCUAAUACAUGCAAGUCGAACGAGAGCGACCGGUGCUUGCACUGGUCAAUCUAGUGGCGAACGGGUGAGUAACACGUGGGUAACCUGCCCAUCAGAGGGGGAUAACAUUCGGAAACGGAUGCUAAAACCGCAUAGGUUCUUUAGUCGCAUGACUGAAGAAGGAAAAGAGGCUUCGGCUUCUGCUGAUGGAUGGACCCGCGGUGCAUUAGCUAGUUGGUGAGGUAACGGCUCACCAAGGCGAUGAUGCAUAGCCGACCUGAGAGGGUGAUCGGCCACAUUGGGACUGAGACACGGCCCAAACUCCUACGGGAGGCAGCAGUAGGGAAUCUUCCGCAAUGGACGCAAGUCUGACGGAGCAACGCCGCGUGAGUGAAGAAGGAUUUCGGUUCGUAAAACUCUGUUGUUAGAGAAGAACAGCGCAUAGA
This 444-nucleotide ribosomal RNA is filed under the name Granulicatella elegans. RNAcentral's name for it is "bacterial SSU rRNA". It matches the Rfam family "Bacterial small subunit ribosomal RNA", at positions 28 to 460 of the family's 1533-position model. The record is from RNAcentral. Lineage: Bacteria; Bacillati; Bacillota; Bacilli; Lactobacillales; Carnobacteriaceae.